Long non-coding RNA from Paramisgurnus dabryanus, 628 nucleotides. RefSeq lists it as uncharacterized. The record is from RefSeq and is a predicted model, not a curated record. Lineage: Eukaryota; Metazoa; Chordata; Actinopteri; Cypriniformes; Cobitidae.
GAGGCACAAAUCCAUACGAGGAGGUAAAAGACAUAAUUAAGAAGAAAGGCAACACCGCCACAGUGGUAAAGCAGAGAGAAAAAGCGUGGCAAAGUAUUGCAGACCGCCUGAAUGCAUUAAAUAUGACCGGGCCAAAACGGACAUGGCAGCAGGUCAAAAUCAAAAUCUGCAGAAUGCAGUGAAAAAGAAUACCCAGAGACAAGGCACGGGUGGUGGGUCACCAAAAGCUGACCUCAUCCCAGCAGAGGCCAGCUUUGGAGCUAAAUAAAGGCAGGCCUGUUGGAGGGAAUCCCUGGGGGAAAAAAGACAAGCAUAGGUCCCUCACAAGAUGCCACCCGCUUCAUACAAGUGUCUGGCAGCACUGUGUUACUGUUAAAGCCACCAGCACGAGCACCUGACGAUGCUGAUCCAGCCCCAUUUCAUCAGCACAUAACGGCGAUGAUGAUGAGGAGACCAUCUCUCUGGAUUCCAAAAGGCAUAAGGACCCAGAGUCAUUGGUGCACUGGACUGCACAAACAUAAGGAUAAAAGCCCCCUCAGGUGCCCAUGAGGCAGAUUUUGUAAAUAUGAAAUCUUUUUGAUCUUUUCCAUUGAACACUGGCAAAAUGGCCUGGCUCAGUCCAUGACUA